Molecule: ribosomal RNA, 388 nt
Filed under: uncultured bacterium
Lineage: Bacteria
Description: bacterial SSU rRNA
Rfam family: Bacterial small subunit ribosomal RNA
Source: RNAcentral
AUUGAACGCUGGCGGCAUGCCUUACACAUGCAAGUCGAACGGCAGCGGACCUUCGGGUGCCGGCGAGUGGCGAACGGGUGAGUAAUAUAUCGGAACGUACCUUUCAGUGGGGGAUAACGUAGCUAAAGUUACGCUAAUACCGCAUAUUCUGUGAGCAGGAAAGCAGGGGAUCGCAAGACCUUGCGCUGAUUGAGCGGCCGAUAUCAGAUUAGCUAGUUGGUGAGGUAAAGGCUCACCAAGGCGACGAUCUGUAGCGGGUCUGAGGGGAUGAUCCGCCACACUGGAACUGAGACACGGUCCAGACUCCUACGGGAGGCAGCAGUGGGGAAUUUUGGACAAUGGGCGCAAGCCUGAUCCAGCCAUGCCGCGUGAGUGAAGAAGGCCUCGG